CGCACAUUGCGCCCGCCAGUAUUCUGGCGGGCAUGCCUGUUCGAGCGUCAUUUCAACCCUCAAGCUCCGGCUUGGUGUUGGGGAUCGGCAGCCCGGCUUCGCGCCGUCGCCGUCCCCCAAAUGCAGUGGCGGUCACGCUGUAGCUUCCUAUGCGUAGUAGCACACCUCGCACUGGAAAGCAGCGCGGCCACGCCGUAAAACCCCCAACUUUUUUGUGGUUGACCUCGAAUCAGGUAGGACUACCCGCUGAACUUAA
This 256-nucleotide unclassified non-coding RNA is filed under the name Mariannaea samuelsii. RNAcentral describes it as "partial contains 5.8S ribosomal RNA, internal transcribed spacer 2, and large subunit ribosomal RNA". The record is from RNAcentral. Lineage: Eukaryota; Fungi; Ascomycota; Sordariomycetes; Hypocreales; Nectriaceae.